GGAGAGAAUCAGCAACUCACUGCACACAGUAGGGGUGCAAUAAAUGUUAGCUGAACCGAGCAUAGUGAAAUAAGCAUAGGCCCACGGGGAAGAGAGAAAAAGGUGUUCUGCACACACAUGCAUGGAAAUGUGCCUCUGUGUGCGCCUCUCUGCAGGGAGCAAGGAGCAAAGAAGGCAUUUGCCAUCUUCCAAGCUGGUUCCCGACAUCAUCGUGAGGCCUUGUGGUCUCAACAUCACCCCGCACAAAGACAGCGCGGCGGGAUGUGUGCUCCCAGGCGGUCCAGGGAAAACGUGCGACCUUCACUGGGGUCUGACAUUGUUUGCAGUGUCACUUCAGCAUCCUUUUCUGUCUUUCCUUUCUCUCUCCUUUCUUUAAGGGAGAUUCUUCAGAGUGAAGACAGAAGUAUGUAGAAAAGGGAAGGCAUCCCGGUGACAAUUACCGAGACCUGGUGGCAGGAGGCCUCCCUCACCUCAUGCUGCCUCGAAGCUGCUCUGUGCGUGAUUUCACCUGAUGGUGACUUCCGUCAAUUCCUGUCUAUUUUCACUCCUUUUCUCAGGUCACUGUGGCUUCAAGGGACUUUGGAGUAAGUCUCGAAGGAGGCAGGAAAUGCUGAUGAUCACCAGUUUACAGUGCUUUCCACAAAGGAAGAAUACGUAAAAUCUGGUCCGGAAGUUCUGUAAAACACGCCAAGGAGACAUUUUAACUGCACCACAGAGGAUGAGUAGACAUUUCCAAAGCUGAGAAGAGGUAGAGUACAUAGCUGAGGACCUGGGCCUGCAGGUGUGUGCAGGUGCAUGUGGAGGAGAGUGAUGGCAAUGGGGCUGGAGAGAGGUGAGACUCGUCUGCCCUGCUGAGGAGCCCAGACCUUCACCUGCUGGCACCUGGAGUCGUUACUCACAAGAUGGGUGGAGCCAUUAAAACUGUCC
RNAcentral lists this long non-coding RNA (927 nucleotides) under Heterocephalus glaber (naked mole-rat). Its description in RNAcentral is "lncRNA (ENSHGLG00000034490.1)". Lineage: Eukaryota; Metazoa; Chordata; Mammalia; Rodentia; Bathyergidae. The record is from RNAcentral.